Parasteatoda tepidariorum (common house spider) is the source of this 612-nucleotide long non-coding RNA. Lineage: Eukaryota; Metazoa; Arthropoda; Arachnida; Araneae; Theridiidae. The record is from RefSeq and is a predicted model, not a curated record.
ACAAAUGUUUUGUCAUCCAUCUAUUUAUAUUUUCUGAAAUUAUAUCCAGUUGAUAAAUUUUAAGCCUGUUUUGGAAUGAGAGAUAGUUUUUCAAGGAAGAUUUAAUUUUAGAAAUGAUUGCAUGACUCUGUAAUAUUAGACAGUAUUAGUUAUCAUAUAAAAAAUAAAUAUAAAUAAAAAGGAAAUAUAAUCAUAAAAUAUGAAUUGCCAUAAAAUUUAAUUGCUAAUAUUUAUUUAUUUAUCAAUUAAUUUAUUUUUGUCUGUAGAAUGAAAAAAGAAAAAUGUUGAUGGAGCAUGAAACAUUAAAGCUGAAACAGCUUGACGAGAAACACUCAGAAGAGUUACAGAAGUGGAAGCAAGGUUUAAAAGUCAGAAAACAGACUUUAGAAGAAGAAUUUGUGAAGCAACGUGAAGAACAUGAAUUGCUAUUAAAGAAGCAUGCAAGUGUAGAACUUAAUCCUUCUAAAUUUAUCGAGACCUGAAAAAUUAAUGAUGUCUUUUAUUCAAAUUUUAAUUUGCUUUUUGUUUGUAAAAAAAUGUAUUCUUAUCCCCACUAGUGAUUCUGUGCCAAUGGUCAAAGAUCUGAUGAAAAUAAAAUACAUUUCCAAUUUU